This 9101-nucleotide long non-coding RNA is filed under the name Marmota monax (woodchuck). Lineage: Eukaryota; Metazoa; Chordata; Mammalia; Rodentia; Sciuridae. The record is from RNAcentral.
GAUGGGCCUCAUCUUAAGCUGAUUUUGUUCAGCCUUCCUUAGGCUACUUGCAGUUGGUUGAAAUCAUGGUACAUGACUCUCAUUUUUAUUCUUCUUUUGUAAAAUGGAAGGUUAGGAUCAAAGUCAUGGAAUUAUUGGGAGAAAUAAUUUAGAUUAUAUCUGUAAAGCACACAAUAAGUUGUUUGACAAAUGAUAAGUGCUCCGUAGAUCUGUUUCUACUUCCUUAUAUCAAACUCAGCUGAACUGAGAAAUACAAAUCACAGUUGCUUUGUUGUGAAGAUAAUUGAGCAGUGAAAUCUCAAGGUAAUUAUUUUCUCUCCAUCUUUUCCAGUAACUAGAAAAUAUAAGAGUUGUGGUCUGAAAGAGAAAGAGAAAGAGAAAGAGAGAAAGGAAAUCUCUCAUAUUCAUACCUGUGGACACAAAAUUGACAAAUGAACUUCUGUUCUAACAUUUCUGUAAGGUUGUUGGAGUUUAAGGUGAGUAAGGGAAAGUUUUAAGUUCAAUAAGUUACAGUAUUAAGUAGGAAGGAUAAAAAAUGAUAACUUUGUUCUGCCAUGCAAAGAGGAAGCUUAUGAAGAAGUUGUUUUUAUGAGAUUGCUUUAGCAGGGUCAUUCAAUGAACAUGUAGUGAAACAGAGAUACAUAUAAUACAAUGGAACUUGUUUAUUUACAAACAGAAUCUACAUCCAUGUCUCAUAACACCGAUAUUGGAUAAGUAUUGGAGGCAUAACAAAGGAAUUCAAUUUGUGAAAAGCCAUUUUUCUAAUGGCCUGUUUUACUUCCUUAAAAAAUAUCUCCUAAUCUAAAUGAACUUCACAUCUCCUUGAUCUAACAUAGUAUCUUGUGCACAUGAGUCUGUCUCAGGAUUUGCACUUAUGCUGUAGUGAUUUAUUACCUACUUAUUUGUUCAUAGGUUACUGUAGCUUGUGAGGAUGUGUAUCAUCUUGCCCACCUUUGUCUUCAUUGCCUGCAGUGGUCCCUGAUAACUCAUAGACAGUCAUAAAUGAACCAACAGGGAGUGAAUGACAUCUGUGGUGGUUCUCAGCUCUGGCUACACUUUAGACUUCUCUAGGGAGCUUUUGUAUAAUAUCGAUUUCUGAAAACUUCCCCUAGAGGUCUGACUUUAUUGUCUUGAGGUAAAGAACUGUCACAGGUAUUUGAUAAUCUAGCCAAAAUGAUUCCAGUGUACAGUCAGAGCUGAAAACCAAUAUUGGCCAGAUAAUCUAAAUACACUAUUCAAUCUAGUGAGAUUAUAUCAUAGUUUUAACCAAUUACUACAUGAAAUUAGCAUUACAGAUAUCAAAAGGAGAAAGACAGUUCUUGCCCUUUAAAGAACAACAAUUUGAUAGCAAAGCUGGAAUGGGUGUUUAAAUCACACUGCAUGAUGAUGAUGAUGAUGAUGCUAGAAACACUUCUAUCAAAUCUAAACUGCUCAUCAGCCAUGGUGCCCUUCACUACAUGCACUAUUUGAUUUAGUUUCUGUAACCACCCUGUGAGAAAGACAUUACAGAUCUUUUAUUCCAUUUUACAAGGUGGGACAAUUGAAGCUGCAUGACAAUGGAAAUUUGUAUUUGACUUCAAAUCAUCUUCACAUUUACUCCCACAUUUUCAUUUUGAGGGAAUAAGCUUCUGAGUUGCCCAUUUUAGAUCUAAAGUGCCAUACAAAUGGAAAAAAAAAGUAUAGAAGAGCAUGCACCAGGGCUGCUAGUUAGAAGCUUGGUGCCCAUGUUGGAUAUAUUGUCCUGAAAUGAGGGUGGCCUGGCAGGAAGCUUGUUGGCACUCAUGGUGGAGCUGAGUGGAACGGGGUGUGGGAGAGUAGAUCUUGACCAGGUGUGCUAAAUGCAUCUCUCACUCUGCAAAUAUGGGAACUUCAGAGAUUUAGUCUAAGAAACACAGGUGGCCCAAAGUGCUCAAUCUCCCUGAAAGCUUUCUAUGUGCCAUGCACCAUUUUAAAGUCUUUAUGAGUAUUGACUUAAUCCUCAUAAAACCCUGUGAGGAAUGGACCAUUGUCUCUAUUUUACUGUUGACAAAACGGAAGCAACAUAGUUAAGCAACUUGUCCAAGUCAUAAAUCUGUAAGCUCUGAACAUGCAUUCAGGAGGUCCCUCUCUUCAUGCUUGCCCCGGGGGUUAGGGCAGGCAGCCUGUAGCCCUGGGAGAUGUAGUCAGGAUUCAGAGAUCUGGCUGAUGCUAAAUAUAACACUGUGUUAUGUUUUAUUAUAUGGCGAACUGUUGCUAUUAUUGUUAACAUGAUGCCUUUUCAAUGAAGGCCUGUCUUUGGUGGUCUGGGAGGUAUGAUUUAAGGGGUGGGAUGCGAGGUCAUCAGCUAACUAAAUAUUUCCCUACUCUCUGCAGCCUCACUUCUCAGAAAUUUGUUUGUAGAGUCACAGAAGAUUUUAAAGACAAAAAGAUUUUUUUAUAAACUGCCAAACUAGCAGAGUUACUUGUUUUACUUGAUUUCCCUCCUACUCAGAACUCCCACAGUUUCGCUCUUUACUUCACACCCUCCCCCCAUCCACAAGGCAAUUUAAAAGAAUAGCACCCUUCAAGGGCUGAUUUCCAGCCUGUUCCAUUUGGGAAGACUUUCUUUUACUUUUCUUUCUUUCAUACCACCACCACCACCACACACACAUGCACACACACACAUAAAUGCACACACAUACAAAGUUUUCUUCUCUUUCAUCUACCUUUAGGUGUGAAUCAUAGUCCUGUUCACCCAAUCACUUGCGUGUGUAACAAACUGAGUCUGGAAAUCCUGUUGUCCCAAGGUAGAGGAUGGGAAGGUUGGAGAGAGUCAGUUAAAGGCCAUUACUUGGGAAAUAGUUGUACAAGGAGUAGGUGCCUUCCCGGCUCCCAUUGGCCACAAAAUGGCAGCAUUUAGCCUAGUAUUAGGGUGCCUCCUUCCCCUCUCUACUUGGCUUGAUGAGGGGCCUAUUAUGUCCCAAGCACUGUACCAAGUGUAACAAAACUCCAGCCUUCUCCAGGCUGAUUGGGAAAGUUUUCAUGAAGCCAGAUCUGCAUAUAAACUUCUGACAAUUUUCUGCUUGAAGAUCUUGGGAGCCAAACUUGGUGAAGAGCAUUAAGACAACGCUUAGGCAAACGAAAGAGAAGGUGUGUGUUUCUUUGUUGUCCCUGGAGAAACCCCAGAUGUGGAAACAGCGCACUGUUCCAAUUCACUUUAGUGUACUCAAAGAGAUUAGGAGCUCCUGCACUAGGAGGCUUGGCCAGGUGAAUUGCUGGCACAGUGCUAUGGUCUGGAUGUUAAAUGUCAUCUCAAAGUUGAAGGCUUGGACCCCAGCCUGUGGUGAUCGUGGGAGGUGGUGAAACCUUUGAGAAGUGGGGCCUAGUGGAAGGAAGUUAGGUCAUUGGAGGAAUGCCCUUGAAGGGGAUGUUAGGACCCUAGCCACUUCCUGUCUUUCCCCCUGCUUCCUGAGGUGGGCAGCUCUGCUGAAGGAUGCACUUUCUGGCAUUAUGUUCUGCUUCACCACAGGUCCAAAAUGUCAGGACAAACCAACCAUAGACUAAAACCUUUGUGAGCCAAAAAUAAAUCUUUUCUCCUCUUAAGUUGUUUUUCUGAGAUAAUUUGUCACAGUGACAGAAAGCUGGAAUGAUUUAUUAAUUUGUACUCUCUCUCCACUUUGUUCUAGAAUGGGCUUAAUAGUGUUCACAAAGAAGAGAAACUAAAGUAACAUUGGUGAGUGGGGUCAUGAAGAUCAAGUGCCAAUGAGUGGAAGGCAUGAGGAGCUGGUCUGAAAAUGAAGGUGCGAGGCCCUAUGUGUUUCUUAAAAGAGGCCACAAGGUUUGUUUAAGCUUCUUGAAAGUCAUGGCUUUCUGUCUUUGUCUGAAUCGUCAAUUAUAGAUAUUUCCAAAUGAGAAAUCUUUAACUACAAUUGAAUCCUUUCUUAACUUAAGCAAAUCAUUAGUGCAUUCAAUUAUGAAAGAACACAAAUCAAAGAAAAUGUGUGAAAUUCCAAAAAUACAUAUGAAAGAAUGUGUCAAAAUAUCAGUUGUGAUGGAGGUGAUGCAAAUGUAUUUUAAAAGUAUAGGUUGAGAACUGACUUAAAAGAUUCCUGUGAUUCAGAUGCAGGGGGUAGUUCAUAGACUGAUAAAGGUUAAGAAGCAGUAAUGCCCCUUUAUCACGACCACAUCCCUUUCAAUUCCCAAUCAUUUAAAAAAAAACAUUUAUAACAUUUUUCUAAUGAUUUUCUUUACUUUAAAGGAUGGGAAUAUAGGAUGCUUUAUGUAGCAAAUACCCUAUAACAAAACCCAAGACUGGCUAUGCAAUUUGUGGGGUGCAGUGCAAAAUGAUUAUGUGAACACUUAUUGAAUGACAAUUCAAUUUUUGUGAGCAUAGUAGUGGUGUAGUUGUAUUUCUUUGUAGUUUUAAUUUGCAUUUUACUUAUUAUUAACAUGGUCAUAAACAUUUGCAUGUACUUAUUGAUCAUUUGAGUUCCCUCUUUUGUGAAGAACUUGUUCAAAUAUUUUUCUCUAUUACUUUGUCUUUUUGUGAAUGGUUUGUAACUCUUCGUAUGUUUUAGAUAUAAGUCCUUUGUUUUAAUGUGGAGGAAAUAUGGUCUCCUACUUUGUGAUAUGAAUUUUAUCCUCUCUAUGAUAUCUUUAUGACUAGAACUGGUUCAUUCUUUGGAUCAAUUUUUAUGUCUUGUAUGAAGUAGAAACUCUGUUUCAUUUUAAAAAAAUGAACUUUCAGUUGUUCCUGUAUCUUUUUUUUUUUUCAAAGAAUCUUCUUUCUCCCUGCACUGCAGAGUUAUGUCUGUUCUCAGUCUGGUGUUCACAGAUCCUGGGUCUGGUUCUCAGCUCUCUCUUGCACUUUAAAAAGUAUGUCUGCAGUAAAAUUAACUGCUCAGUGGAGGCAAUAGGGUAGGCCAUGGUGUUCAUGAGUUUCUUUUCUUUAUAAGUUUGUGGAUGAAAUAAUGAAGAAGUGAUAGGGUAGAAGCCAGAAGACCCAAGUUCAAAAUCAUCUGGGCCAUGUUUACAAGUGAUCCCAUGUAAAUAGUUUCUAUAGAUGAAAUACACCUCCAUUUUUUUAAGAGAGAGAGAGAGAAUUUUUUUUUUCAAUAUUUAUUUUUUAGUUCUCAGCAGACACAUAUUUAUUUUAUUUUAUGUGGUGCUGAGGAUCGAACCCAGCAUCCCGCGCAUGCCAGGCAAGCGCCUUACUGCUUGAGCCACAUCCCCAGCGCCCCCGCCCCCCAUUUUUAAAGAAGGUAAUAGCUGUCCCCCAGCUGACUUAGCAGAGUCCUUGACAGGAUCAAAUGAUAUAAUAUGGAUUUUUCAAAUGUUUGUUGACACACAUAACAUGUAGUGAAAACACAGAAGGAAAAUGAGAGAGCAGGUACUUUUUGCAAUAGAAAACCAUUGAGAGUAGAGUAGAUUUUACCUCAUAAUAACAGGUGGACACUGAACAUUAUGUGAAUGAUCACUGUGAUAUGAGAUUACUUAUUACUUCUUGGGACUCGCUACUUUCUAUUUCUACUGUUAUAACCAAAGAUGGGAACAGAUAUUGCUCCUGUUGUGUUUUAAUGUGGGAUCAGUAGGGAUGAGCUCCCAAAUUUUUUUAUUAUUGAUGCUUGAGAAUUUUCCACUGUUGUUUAAUUUCUCUGAAUUAGCUUUUAGCCUUUCCCUAGGAAUUGCUCUUGCUAAUAGUGGUGACACAGUGAAUCCCUACACAUGAAUGUGACCACGUUAUUUAAACUUCUUAUAAAUUAGCCAUAUAUGGAGAGAAACAAACAUUAUUCAAUGCCAUUAGUGGUGUGUAUGUAUGUGUGUGUGUGUGUGUGUGUGUGUGUGUAGAUUGCUGAGAGGAGUGAAAGAAGAAAAUUAAUGAUGGGUAAAGAAAAAAGUCAUCCUUCACCUGCUUCAUUCCUCAUGCAAACACAUAUUCAUCAAUCAAUUUACAUAUCAGUCAGCUCUGUGGUUUAUUUGUCUAAAUAAGAUGAAAUGCUGGCCCUGGAGGGCCAUGUCCUUGCCCUUUCUCUUCUCUUUAGCUUUCUGUUCAAGUGGUUUUUAAAGUGUGGUCCCAGACUAGCAGCAUCAACAUCAACUGAAAACAUUUUAGAAAUAACAAUCCAAUGACCUCCCAAAUCAGAACUCUGGGAAUGGGGAGGGUGGGAGAAAUCUGAACCUUGACAAAUCCUGGAGAUGAUUCUGUGUAUGCUCAUGUUGGAAAGGUUGGUCCUACUCGAUGUCCUGACUGGUGCUAUUUGUCUUAGCAGCCUAUGCACUGGUGUUUCUGGUUUUUCAUGCCUUUGCUUCUGGUGUUACCCUUAUUUGUCACUCAAGGUUUAGCUUAGGUAACAGCUGUACCUAACUCAUGGUGGGUGCCUUUUCUCCCUCAUCACAUUGUACUAGGGGCUGUGAGCUUCUAGGGACAGGUGUGAAACUGACUUCUUUAUCUUUGAAUUCUAGCACCUGUCUCCAUGAUUGGCCCAUAAGAGGUACUCAAUCAUCACUUCCUGAAAUACUGUUAAUAUAGGACACAACAUUAUGUAGUGGGGAAUAAUCUUAAACGUGAAGAUGAAAAGCCCUGAGUUGAAGUUCAGGCUCUACAAUUUUGUAGACAAAUAUCCCUAGACAAUUCAGUUACAGAGGAAAAUUUUGUCUACUUCUUUAAACUUUCCACAAAGCUAUUUUCUGGUGAAGGUUGUUGCAUUAACUUGAUCUCUCAAAUUCCCAAGAUAACCACAGACCUUCAUCUGUAAAACCUAAUAAAGAGAUAAAGGAAAAAGGAGGGAAUGUCAAGGGCUUAUUGGAAGACACUAUUUUGUCUAAGAAUAGUAGAAAAAGCCUUGUACUGAUCAGCAUGUGUUUUCUUCUUUGGUUCUACAGUUAUUAAAUUUGCUUUUCUAACUAAAAUAAAAUAGAUGAAUCAGAAAGAAAAAAGGAAAUUGCUUCUAAUCAGCUUAAGCUAGGUGGUGAUAACUAUCAGGAGUGAAUAUUGGCUUUGAAUUUAGAGAUGAACCACUGGGUGUAAGACAUUAUGGAAAAGCAAUCCCAGGGUCAAGGUUAAAGGUGGGGCAGACAAGGUACUAAUGACAAUGUACUUUGAUCCUUGACUACAUUUCUCUGCCCUUCCUCUCAACUGGCAGCUGAGAUAGGGGUCUAUGGGUAUUGAAAUCUGUUAGCUUUCAUGGGCAAAUGGGGAGGUAUUAAGAUUGGUUAAUUUUUGCACUUUCUAUUUUUCUACUUAACUCAGAGACUGUCUACAGUGAGAGGCUGCAAAGAUGAUCCAUGGUCUUCUCAUCACACUUCCUCCAUUUGAAGGUUGGCUUGGAAUGGUUCUUGGGUAUCAAAGUAAAUGUUUGCCUGUGCUGGUAAACUGAAUGGUGCAUAGCUGUGUGUCACUGUCAGAGCCUGGCAGAUACCCUUGCUUUCUGGUUCCAAGAAACCACUAACAGAGCAAAGCUUACGCCAAGGAAGACAGAUCAUUUGCAGUUUGUUUAUAAUCCUCCAGGACCAAGUGGGAAACAGUCUUGCCAACCAACCUUCCUUGAGCCAGUUGAAGUGAAACCAAGGUUUGUCCACUUACCUUGAUAAUUACGGCAAAAAAGGCCCGUGCGAUUCAGGUCUGACUUUUCCCAAUCAGGACCAUGAGGAGGUCUUGGAUAAUUCAAUCUGGACAGGAUUUUUGAUUCCUUGUGGGUUGUUCUAUUGUUUCUGAGUCGUUGCUGGACAGCAGAAAUGGAUAUUGGAAGUACAGCUCAGAAAAGCAAUCUGCAUUGAGCAGCAUUAUAUCUUGUGUUUUGCUUACAUUUUUAUUCCUAAAACAUGACUUCAUUGGUGGUGGCCAUGCCUGUGGAUCCAAAUACAAAUUUAUCAUGUUUGCUGUAGUGAAUUCAGAUGAUGAAAUGUGGAAAAGCUAUUUGUUAUUGUCUUCAAAAUAGCUUCUGAUGAAGACUGCAUUAAACUGAUCACUGGAGAUUUUCCCACAGAACACUUUUUUUGGCCCUUUGUGGACUAGCAUAACAAUGGCUUUGGGUCUGGUCUUCCUAGGGAGCUUCACACAGGACUGGGCAUAUUUGAGGCACACAAAAGAAUGAAUAUUCCUUCUUUAGAAACACUAAACUUUGCAUUUUACUGUCAAAAUAUGAUUCAUAAAUAAAAAAGUAGAGACCAGUCAGUUAUCCUUGGUAUACUAUUCAUGAUUCUAGGAAACAAUUUUUAGCAACCAUGAACUGUAUCUGAAAAAAAAAAGUCAUAGGUAGACAGAUUUUCCCAAAAAACUUAUGACCUGUUUAAUAGGUACAGAAAUUGAUCAUAAAUGCCAGGCUUGAAAAGGCUUGUUUCUUGUCAAAAGCCUUCAUUGUAUCUGAAAAUAUAAGCAGUAGAUAGGGGAUUCAUUUACUCAGCACUCUGAAAAGUUUUAAAAAGGCUAUUGCCUUGUAAGGUAAGUGGAAAGCUUGGGGGAGAAAUGUCAAAAGGUCUUACAAAAGCCUUGACUCAAAUGCCAGUAAUAAAGCAGGAAAAAAAAAAUAAAAGAAGGAGGAGGAGGAGUUGUUGAAGCAUAUGCUAUUUGACCAUGGGGGAAUCUCUAAGCAGAGGAGGGAAAUGCUAUGCUGUCUACACUUUGGCUAAAAUAAUCAAGAGCUUGUCGACAGGAAACAGGGCAAAAUGGAAAUGUAUAAAUAAGACAGAGAGGUAAGCUGAGGCCAAAUGCUAUGGCAGCAAGCUGGCCCUUUGGAAAGUCCUCGGUGGGAACAAGAGUGGAUAAGCUUGGCCUUUCUUUGGAGCUAAUCAGCUCUUACUAGGCAAAUCCAAGAAUAGCCUAGAGACCUUGAGUAGUGCAGAGGGGCAUUUUGGUCUCCUUUGCAGCAGUCAUUCAUUUUCAAUGUCAUGCUUAUUUUCUGAGGUAUUGACAUGCAGCCAUCAUGAAGUGUUUUUUUAUUAAUCCCAGGGAUGAGAGAAACACACAGAUAGUCCCAAAGCAUUGGAAGGCAUAUUUUUCUUGUCCUAAAUUUCUGCUUCCUCAACCACUCUUUCAGUGUUUCCUAAAUCCAGAAGCUGCACCCAUGAUUCCACAGGAAUUUGGAAGAGAAGAGACAACCAGGAUAGAAAAACAGAGGUCAGAGAGACAUUGACUUGGAAUUUUG